This is a long non-coding RNA of Papaver somniferum (opium poppy), 766 nucleotides long. RefSeq lists it as uncharacterized. Lineage: Eukaryota; Viridiplantae; Streptophyta; Magnoliopsida; Ranunculales; Papaveraceae. The transcript is spliced from 4 exons. The record is from RefSeq and is a predicted model, not a curated record.
AACCUGCGUAUGAAAAGAAGCUUCCUCAAUCUAUACUUGGGAAACAUUCUUGGAAACCUACCUUGACCACGACUACUGGUCACAAGUGUAGUUAUGUAGUUAAAGCACCAGCCGGACAUCCAAUCUAUGAGAAUUCCCGUGUCAAGGGUUUCAAAGCACUAAUAACGGUUGUUUUAUCUAAUGACCAAUUUUCCUCUUGGAGAACUGCACGAGGGUCUGAUGGAAUGGAUAAGCCAGUAAAGUCGUUGCAGUGUCUAAAUCUGAAAUGGACCUUUUUUUGAAGCGAAGAUUACUGGUGGAGGCUCUUCCCGGUGGCUCUGUUUGCGUGGUAGGAAGAAACUGUUUACAAAGCAGCAAACAGAUUCUAGAGAUUCAGCAAAGGUACAAAGCUGCCACAGGAACCAUGGCAUUGGUUUCCGAAGGUUCUCCAGGUGUCAGUUUGGAUAUCUGAAAAUUCAUCGCGGUUUUCUUGUUCUUUUGACCCUCUUUAUUUGACAGUAAGAGGCACUUGAAAGCUUGUUUCAAGAUUUUGAUAUUUUUUUGUUAGUCAUUAAGGUUCUAUUCUUUAAACUAUCUGAGCUGUAAUUUGUAACCCUUCUUUUCUGAAAGGGUUUUAUCUGUAACAUAGAGAAUAAGACGAGGUAAGAAUAUCUGAGCUGUAAUUUGUAAGCCUUUUUUUUUUUUUUGCAAUGUAAUUGUGGUAUGCAAGGCAGCCCUUGCAUCACCUCAUAUUUACGAGGAGCCAAAGGUAGUCUAAUACCAGUUU